RNAcentral lists this transfer RNA (67 nucleotides) under Marmota monax (woodchuck). RNAcentral's name for it is "tRNA.Thr". The record is from RNAcentral. Lineage: Eukaryota; Metazoa; Chordata; Mammalia; Rodentia; Sciuridae.
GGUUGUGGGUUAGUGGUAGAGCACUUGCCUAGUAUGUGCAAGACCCUGAGUUCGAUCCCCAGCACCA